AGUUUGAUCCUGGCUCAGAUUGAACGCUGGCGGCAUGCUUUACACAUGCAAGUCGAACGGUAACAGGGAGCUUGCUCCGCUGACGAGUGGCGAACGGGUGAGUAAUGCAUCGGAACGUGCCUAUUUGUGGGGGAUAACGUAGCGAAAGUUACGCUAAUACCGCAUACGCCCUGAGGGGGAAAGCGGGGGAUUCGUAAGAACCUCGCGCAAUUAGAGCGGCCGAUGUCGGAUUAGCUAGUUGGUGGGGUAAAGGCUCACCAAGGCGACGAUCCGUAGCGGGUCUGAGAGGAUGAUCCGCCACACUGGGACUGAGACACGGCCCAGACUCCUACGGGAGGCAGCAGUGGGGAAUUUUGGACAAUGGGCGAAAGCCUGAUCCAGCCAUGCCGCGUGAGUGAAGAAGGCCUUCGGG
This 412-nucleotide ribosomal RNA is filed under the name uncultured bacterium. RNAcentral describes it as "bacterial SSU rRNA". It matches the Rfam family "Bacterial small subunit ribosomal RNA", at positions 10 to 422 of the family's 1533-position model. The record is from RNAcentral.